This is a long non-coding RNA of Pezoporus occidentalis (night parrot), 199 nucleotides long. RefSeq lists it as uncharacterized. The record is from RefSeq and is a predicted model, not a curated record. Lineage: Eukaryota; Metazoa; Chordata; Aves; Psittaciformes; Psittacidae. The transcript has 2 exons.
CCUCACCUCCCGGCCGGUCUAGCUUGAGGAUGUCCCGCAGAUGUUGCGUCGCGUCCUCAAUGUCGAUGCUGGAGGAGGAGGCCAUGGGGCCCGGCCCGCGCAGAGCACCAGAGCAGCGCAGCCCGGGCUGCCCCUGCCCGCCGCCUGCGCUUCCGCCUCCGGCCCGACUCCUAAUGCGCCGGGCGGAAACCGCCGCCGG